RNAcentral lists this ribosomal RNA (254 nucleotides) under uncultured bacterium. RNAcentral's name for it is "partial 16S ribosomal RNA". It matches the Rfam family "Bacterial small subunit ribosomal RNA", at positions 524 to 776 of the family's 1533-position model. The record is from RNAcentral.
CACGUAGGGGGCGAGCGUUGUCCGGAUUUAUUGGGCGUAAAGAGCUCGUAGGCGGCUCAGUAAGUCAGGUGUGAAAACUCCAGGCUCAACCUGGAGACGCCACCUGAUACUGCUGUGGCUAGAGUCCGGUAGGGGAGCAUGGAAUUCCUGGUGUAGCGGUGAAAUGCGCAGAUAUCAGGAGGAACACCGGUGGCGAAGGCGGUUCUCUGGGCCUUACCUGACGCUGAGGAGCGAAAGCAUGGGGAGCAAACAGG